AGACCCGAAACCCGGUGAUCUAGCCAUGGGCAGGUUGAAGGUUGGGUAACACUAACUGGAGGACCGAACCGACUAAUGUUGAAAAAUUAGCGGAUGACCUGUGGCUGGGGGUGAAAGGCCAAUCAAACCGGGAGAUAGCUGGUUCUCCCCGAAAGCUAUUUAGGUAGCGCCUCGUGAAUUCAUCUCCGGGGGUAGAGCACUGUUUCGGCUAGGGGGCCAUCCCGGCUUACCAACCCGAUGCAAACUGCGAAUACCGGAGAAUGUUAUCACGGGAGACACACGGCGGGUGCUAACGUCCGUCGUGAAGAGGGAAACAACCCAGACCGCCAGCUAAGGUCCCAAAGUCAUGGUUAAGUGGGAAACGAUGUGGGAAGGCCCAGACAGCCAGGAUGUUGGCUUAGAAGCAGCCAUCAUUUAAAGAAAGCGUAAUAGCUCACUGGUCGAGUCGGCCUGCGCGGAAGAUGUAACGGGGCUAAACCAUGCACCGAAGCUGCGGCAGCGAACGUAUCACCCAAGACAACUUUGCGGAGUUGACGAUUGACGGAGCGAAGCGACGUCAAAGCGUUCAUUAAAGUCGAGUUGGCUUAGGGAUACGUUCGUUGGGUAGGGGAGCGUUCUGUAAGCCAGUGAAGGUGUGUCGUGAGGCAUGCUGGAGGUAUCAGAAGUGCGAAUGCUGACAUAAGUAACGAUAAAGCGGGUGAAAAGCCCGCUCGCCGGAAGACCAAGGGUUCCUGUCCAACGUUAAUCGGGGCAGGGUGAGUCGACCCCUAAGGCGAGGCCGAAAGGCGUAGUCGAUGGGAAACGGGUUAAUAUUCCCGUACUUGGUGUUACUGCGAAGGGGGGACGGAGAAGGCUAUGUUGGCCGGGCGACGGUUGUCCCGGUUUAAGCGUGUAGGUGUGUGUUCCAGGUAAAUCCGGUUCACUUUAACACUGAGGCGUGACGACGAGGCACUACGGUGCUGAAGCAACAAAUGCCCUGCUUCCAGGAAAAGCCUCUAAGCAUCAGGUAACAUCAAAUCGUACCCCAAACCGACACAGGUGGUCAGGUAGAGAAUACCAAGGCGCUUGAGAGAACUCGGGUGAAGGAACUAGGCAAAAUGGUGCCGUAACUUCGGGAGAAGGCACGCUGACACGUAGGUGAAGUGAUUUACUCAUGGAGCUGAAGUCAGUCGAAGAUACCAGCUGGCUGCAACUGUUUAUUAAAAACACAGCACUGUGCAAACACGAAAGUGGACGUAUACGGUGUGACGCCUGCCCGGUGCCGGAAGGUUAAUUGAUGGGGUCAGCGCAAGCGAAGCUCCUGAUCGAAGCCCCGGUAAACGGCGGCCGUAACUAUAACGGUCCUAAGGUAGCGAAAUUCCUUGUCGGGUAAGUUCCGACCUGCACGAAUGGCGUAAUGAUGGCCAGGCUGUCUCCACCCGAGACUCAGUGAAAUUGAACUCGCUGUGAAGAUGCAGUGUACCCGCGGCAAGACGGAAAGACCCCGUGAACCUUUACUAUAGCUUGACACUGAACAUUGAGCCUUGAUGUGUAGGAUAGGUGGGAGGCUUUGAAGCGUGGACGCCAGUCUGCGUGGAGCCGACCUUGAAAUACCACCCUUUAAUGUUUGAUGUUCUAACGUGGACCCGUGAUCCGGGUUGCGGACAGUGUCUGGUGGGUAGUUUGACUGGGGCGGUCUCCUCCUAAAGAGUAACGGAGGAGCACGAAGGUUGGCUAAUCCUGGUCGGACAUCAGGAGGUUAGUGCAAUGGCAUAAGCCAGCUUGACUGCGAGCGUGACGGCGCGAGCAGGUGCGAAAGCAGGUCAUAGUGAUCCGGUGGUUCUGAAUGGAAGGGCCAUCGCUCAACGGAUAAAAGGUACUCCGGGGAUAACAGGCUGAUACCGCCCAAGAGUUCAUAUCGACGGCGGUGUUUGGCACCUCGAUGUCGGCUCAUCACAUCCUGGGGCUGAAGUAGGUCCCAAGGGUAUGGCUGUUCGCCAUUUAAAGUGGUACGCGAGCUGGGUUUAGAACGUCGUGAGACAGUUCGGUCCCUAUCUGCCGUGGGCGCUGGAGAACUGAGGGGGGCUGCUCCUAGUACGAGAGGACCGGAGUGGACGCAUCACUGGUGUUCGGGUUGUCAUGCCAAUGGCACUGCCCGGUAGCUAAAUGCGGAAGAGAUAAGUGCUGAAAGCAUCUAAGCACGAAACUUGCCCCGA
Molecule: ribosomal RNA, 2195 nt
Filed under: Salmonella enterica
Lineage: Bacteria; Pseudomonadati; Pseudomonadota; Gammaproteobacteria; Enterobacterales; Enterobacteriaceae
Also listed under: 1 other name
Description: partial 23S ribosomal RNA
Rfam family: Bacterial large subunit ribosomal RNA
Source: RNAcentral